RNAcentral lists this ribosomal RNA (1000 nucleotides) under uncultured bacterium. RNAcentral's name for it is "bacterial SSU rRNA". It matches the Rfam family "Bacterial small subunit ribosomal RNA", at positions 355 to 1375 of the family's 1533-position model. The record is from RNAcentral.
UGGGGAAUAUUGGGCAAUGGAGGAAACUCUGACCCAGCAACGCCGCGUGGAGGAAGAAGGUUUUCGGAUCGUAAACUCCUGUCCUUGGAGACGAGUAGAAGACGGUAUCCAAGGAGGAAGCCCCGGCUAACUACGUGCCAGCAGCCGCGGUAAUACGUAGGGAGCGAGCGUUGUCCGGAAUUACUGGGUGUAAAGGGAGCGUAGGCGGGAUCUUAAGUCAGGUGUGAAAACUAUGGGCUCAACCCAUAGACUGCACUUGAAACUGAGGUUCUUGAGUGAAGUAGAGGCAGGCGGAAUUCCUAGUGUAGCGGUGAAAUGCGUAGAUAUCGGGAGGAACACCAGUGGCGAAGGCGGCCUACUGGGCACCAACUGACGCUGAGGCUCGAAAGUGUGGGUAGCAAACAGGAUUAGAUACCCUGGUAGUCCACACCGUAAACGAUGAUUACUAGGUGUUGGAGGAUUGACCCCUUCAGUGCCGCAGUUAACACAAUAAGUAAUCCACCUGGGGAGUACGACCGCAAGGUUGAAACUCAAAGGAAUUGACGGGGGCCCGCACAAGCAGUGGAGUAUGUGGUUUAAUUCGACGCAACGCGAAGAACCUUACCAAGUCUUGACAUCCUGCGACGAUGCUGGAAACAGUAUUUUCCUUCGGGACGCAGAGACAGGUGGUGCAUGGUUGUCGUCAGCUCGUGUCGUGAGAUGUUGGGUUAAGUCCCGCAACGAGCGCAACCCUUAUUGUUAGUUGCCAUCAUUAAGUUGGGCACUCUAGCGAGACUGCCCGGGUUAACCGGGAGGAAGGUGGGGAUGACGUCAAAUCAUCAUGCCCCUUAUGUCUAGGGCUACACACGUGCUACAAUGGUCGGUACAAUAAGACGCAAGCCCGCGAGGGGGAGCAAAACUGGAAAACCGAUCUCAGUUCGGAUUGUAGGCUGAAACUCGCCUACAUGAAGCUGGAGUUGCUAGUAAUCGCGAAUCAGCAUGUCGCGGUGAAUACGUUCCC